RNAcentral lists this ribosomal RNA (253 nucleotides) under uncultured bacterium. Its description in RNAcentral is "partial 16S ribosomal RNA". It matches the Rfam family "Bacterial small subunit ribosomal RNA", at positions 524 to 776 of the family's 1533-position model. The record is from RNAcentral.
UACGUAGGGUGCAAGUGUUAAUCGGAAUUACUGGGCGUAAAGCGUGCGCAGGCGGUGAUGUAAGACAGGUGUGAAAUCCCCGGGCUUAACCUGGGAACUGCAUUUGUGACUGCAUCGCUGGAGUGCGGCAGAGGGGGAUGGAAUUCCGCGUGUAGCAGUGAAAUGCGUAGAUAUGCGGAGGAACACCGAUGGCGAAGGCAAUCCCCUGGGCCUGCACUGACGCUCAUGCACGAAAGCGUGGGGAGCAAACAGG